AUGUUGGGUGAAAAUGCCUGCCUAAGUAGCAGUGCUUUUGCUGUGCCCUACUUUUAUCUAGCCUCAUCUUGGUUGCCCUUCCCCUCUCUCUUCAUUGUUAGCAUUUUUCUAAGGAGCACAAGCAGCACCUGUGUUUGGUGCGUGCCAACACCUUUGCAUACAGUUACACAUGGGCAGUUCCACGGAGAGCAAGAGGAUCAGCUUUUAGUUUGCAAGAGUCUGAAUAGAGAUAAGUUGCAGAACAGGCUCCCUGCACUUUGUGUUCUUCAUAGACCAGAACUUCAGUUCUUCUUGCUGUGGAAAAAAAUGUCAAAGGCCUUUUGCUCUCUUCCAGCGAGAGGUGUAUCUGCUGGUUUGCCCACCAUUACUUCCGUGGCUGGAGGCUCCCAUGCUGUGGUACCCGUAUCAUGCAGGCCACCAAUACCACUUUUUGAAGACUGCAACUGCCGUGCCACCUCGGUAGAAUUCCAUGAACAAUACCUUAGUUCCUGAGUGGCUUCCAGAAGAAUCGUUCGUACCUUAUUUUCUUAGGGUAGUACUGGAUAUUUUUGUUACUUCCAAAGAUUCAGAUGGCUGUUCAAGUUAAAAGACCUUGAUCAAAAUUCAGUACUGUGCACACCAG
RNAcentral lists this long non-coding RNA (622 nucleotides) under Anas platyrhynchos platyrhynchos (common mallard). Its description in RNAcentral is "lncRNA (ENSAPLG00000025935.1)". The record is from RNAcentral. Lineage: Eukaryota; Metazoa; Chordata; Aves; Anseriformes; Anatidae.